Molecule: long non-coding RNA, 446 nt
Organism: Ipomoea nil (Japanese morning glory)
Lineage: Eukaryota; Viridiplantae; Streptophyta; Magnoliopsida; Solanales; Convolvulaceae
Exons: 2
Source: RefSeq, a predicted model, not a curated record
CUAUUGCUGACUCAGGUAAUACAACCACAUGCCUUCUCUCGUCCGCAUCCAAAUGGGUUAUAGAUUCGGGUGCUACAGAUCAUAUGACAGGAUCUUAUGACGAAGAGGGUUAUUGGUAAGGGGCGUGAGUCUGGAGGUCUCUACGUUCUUGACACAGCGAGGCCGGAGUCUGUUGCUUGUUCUGGUGUUGUCACUCCAGUUGAAGCACAUUGUCGUUUGGGGCAUCCUUCCCUUCCCUUGUUGAAGAAAUUGUGUCCGCAGUUUUCUAGUUUGUCUUUUUUACAUUGUGAGUCAUGUGAGUUUUCUAAGCACCAUCGUGUGCAUUUGAGUCCUAGGGUUCACAAACGAGCGUCUGCUCCUUUUGAGUUAGUACAUUCUGAUGUUUGGGGUCCAUGUUCUGUGACAUCUAAACUUGGUUAUAAGUAUUUUGUUACAUUUGUUGAUGA